GGCCGCGGGUAAUUCGAUUACUGCUCAGUAACACGUGGAUAACCUGCCCUCAGGUCCGGCAUAAUCUCGGGAAACUGAGGAUAAUUCCGGAUAUCCCUUUUCUGUUGGAAGACUUAAAGGGACAAAGAAUUUCGCCUGAGGAUGGGUCUGCGGCCUAUCAGGUUGUAGGGGGUGUAACGUACCUCCUAGCCGACGACGGGUACGGGUUGUGAGAGCAAGAGCCCGGAGAUGGAUUCUGAGACAUGAAUCCAGGCCCUACGGGGCGCAGCAGGCGCGAAAACUUUACAAUGCAGGAAACUGUGAUAAGGAGACACCGAGUGCUCGCAUCAAAUGCGGGCUGUCCGCUUACUUAAAUCGUAAGCGUUAGCAAGGGCCGGGCAAGACCGGUGCCAGCCGCCGCGGUAAUACCGGUGGCCCGAGUGGUAGCCGCUUUUAUUGGGUUCUAAAGGGUCCGUAGCCGGUUCGGUCAGUCCAUUGGGAAAUCCNGAUGCUCAACAUCCGGGCUUCCAGUGGAUACUGCCGAACUUGGGAUCGGGGGAGGUAAGAGGUACUAUNAGGGGUAGGAGUGAAAUCUUUGUAANCCCUUGUGGACCACCUGUGGCGAAGGCNUCUUACCNAAACGAGUCCGACGGUGAGGGNCGNAAGCUUGGGGCNCGAAACCGGAUU
This 666-nucleotide ribosomal RNA is filed under the name uncultured Methanimicrococcus sp. RNAcentral's name for it is "bacterial SSU rRNA". It matches the Rfam family "Archaeal small subunit ribosomal RNA", at positions 66 to 730 of the family's 1478-position model. The record is from RNAcentral. Lineage: Archaea; Methanobacteriati; Methanobacteriota; Methanomicrobia; Methanosarcinales; Methanosarcinaceae.